GAGUUUGAUCCUGGCUCAGGAUGAACGCUAGCGGCAGGCUUCAUACAUGCAAGUCGGGGGGCAGCAUAAAUUACUUGUAAUUUGAUGGCGACCGGCGAACGGGUGCGUAACGCGUAUGCAACUUACCUUUUACUAAAGAAUAGCCAAAAGAAAUUUUGAUUAAGGCUCUAUGUUCUUAUUUACUCGCAGGAGUAAAUAACCAAAGCUCCGGCGGUAAAAAAUGGGCAUGCGCCCUAUUAUCUUGAAGGGGAGGAAAGGGCUCACCUAACCUCCGAUAGGUAGGGGUCCUGAGAGGGAGAUCCCCCACACUGGUACUGAGACACGGACCAGACUUCUACGGAAGGCAGUAGUAAGGAAUAUUGUACAAUGGAGGCAACUCUGAUCCAUCCAUGCCGCGUGAAGGAAGACGGCCUUAUGGGUUGUAACCUUCUUUUAUACAGGAAGAAACCUUUC
This 453-nucleotide ribosomal RNA is filed under the name uncultured bacterium. RNAcentral describes it as "bacterial SSU rRNA". It matches the Rfam family "Bacterial small subunit ribosomal RNA", at positions 9 to 456 of the family's 1533-position model. The record is from RNAcentral.